Molecule: ribosomal RNA, 417 nt
Filed under: Triticum aestivum (bread wheat)
Lineage: Eukaryota; Viridiplantae; Streptophyta; Magnoliopsida; Poales; Poaceae
Description: partial small subunit ribosomal RNA
Source: RNAcentral
AUGGUAUUCGAAACUUGCAUAAUAAGGGUAAUCACUUCACCUUGGGUGGGUUUGGGAGACUUUAAUGAAUUUCUACUUUCUUCAAAAAAGGAGGGUGGCAAUGCGAUACCAAAUGCAAUGAUGUGAGAGUUUCGUAAUUGUUUGAAAGAGUGCGGUCUGGAAUACAUGGGAUGUAUUGGGGAUCCUUUCACUUGGAGGAGAGGCGAUAUUAGAGAGAGACUUGACCAUGCGGUUUGUAAUGUGCAAUGCGCGAACAAAUUUCCUCGGUCUACGGUCAUAAAUGAAGAACAUGUACACUCCGAUUAUCGUCCUCUCAUCCUGGAUACAAAAUAUUUUGAUGGCAAUAUUCCUAACCACCCAAAGAGUCGACUGAAACAAUUUGAAGCUCGAUGGCUCCAAGAAGAGUCAGUUGUAUAA